AUCCAGCUGACGAGUCCCAGAUAGGAUGAAACAUGCAUCCUGGAU
Non-coding RNA from Schistosoma mattheei, 45 nucleotides. The record is from Rfam. NCBI's taxonomy places the organism in Eukaryota, Metazoa, Platyhelminthes, Trematoda, Strigeidida, Schistosomatidae.